CGGGUAUGCCAUGUGUGUUUUGGAAUCUGCGCCAAAAUAUACUAAUGAAGCGGAAGGCUAUGACCCGUACCUACUAGAGGCGUCUGAGGCAGUCGCAGCUGUCAAGCGAGCGGACGGCCAUGGCGUCUAUUACUUCCAUAAUAUACCUCACAUCGAAUCGCUGCUCGCCAACCAAGAACUAAGAAUAAAAAACAAUUUAAAACCACAUCGAAUAGCCAGUAUACGGCACACGUGGCCUUAUAACCGACCGUAGCGAACAAAACCGACGAAUAAAACAACACCUUCAAUAUUGCAAUUAUAUAUUUGUAUACAGAUGUAAAAAUACUCAAUAAAAGUCAUUAAUAUUAUACAAAGGUA
Molecule: long non-coding RNA, 357 nt
Organism: Trichoplusia ni (cabbage looper)
Lineage: Eukaryota; Metazoa; Arthropoda; Insecta; Lepidoptera; Noctuidae
Exons: 2
Source: RefSeq, a predicted model, not a curated record